This 255-nucleotide ribosomal RNA is filed under the name uncultured bacterium. Its description in RNAcentral is "partial 16S ribosomal RNA". It matches the Rfam family "Bacterial small subunit ribosomal RNA", at positions 524 to 776 of the family's 1533-position model. The record is from RNAcentral.
UACGUAGGGGUGCAAGCGUUGUCCGGAAUUAUUGGGCGUAAAGAGCUUGUAGGCGGUUUGUCGCGUCUGCUGUGAAAUUUCGGGGCUCAACCCCGAACUUGCAGUGGGUACGGGCAGACUAGAGUGUGGUAGGGGAGACUGGAAUUCCUGGUGUAGCGGUGAAAUGCGCAGAGUAUCAGGAGGAACACCGAUGGCGAAGGCAGGUCUCUGGGCCACUACUGACGCUGAGAAGCGAAAGCAUGGGGAGCGAACAGG